Molecule: ribosomal RNA, 514 nt
Filed under: uncultured bacterium
Lineage: Bacteria
Description: partial 16S ribosomal RNA
Rfam family: Bacterial small subunit ribosomal RNA
Source: RNAcentral
GACGAACGCUGGCGGCGUGCCUAAUACAUGCAAGUCGAGCGGAUGACGGAGGAGCUUGCUCCUCCUGAUUCAGCGGCGGACGGGUGAGUAACACGUGGGCAACCUGCCCUGUAGAUUGGGAUAACUCCGGGAAACCGGGGCUAAUACCGAAUAAUCCUUCGGACCUCAUGGUCCGAUGUUGAAAGACGGUUUCGGCUGUCACUACAGGAUGGGCCCGCGGCGCAUUAGCUAGUUGGUGAGGUGACGGCUCACCAAGGCCACGAUGCGUAGCCGACCUGAGAGGGUGAUCGGCCACACUGGGACUGAGACACGGCCCAGACUCCUACGGGAGGCAGCAGUAGGGAAUCUUCCACAAUGGACGAAAGUCUGAUGGAGCAACGCCGCGUGAGUGAAGAAGGUUCUCGGAUCGUAAAACUCUGUUGUGAGGGAAGAACAAGUACCGGAGUAACUGCCGGUGCCUUGACGGUACCUCAUUAGAAAGCCACGGCUAACUACGUGCCAGCCGCCGCGGUAA